UUAAAACAAGCUUUUAAGAGCAGAUGGCGGAUGCCUUGCCAAAGAGAGGCGAUGAAGGACGUACUAGACUGCGAUAAGC
RNAcentral lists this ribosomal RNA (79 nucleotides) under Helicobacter pylori Iso6. Its description in RNAcentral is "partial 23S ribosomal RNA". The record is from RNAcentral. Lineage: Bacteria; Pseudomonadati; Campylobacterota; Epsilonproteobacteria; Campylobacterales; Helicobacteraceae.